AUUUAUAUAGUUUAUAACAAAACAUUUCAUUUUCAAUGAAAAAAUAAAUUUUAUUUUAUAAAUA
Molecule: transfer RNA, 64 nt
Filed under: Nesidiocoris tenuis
Lineage: Eukaryota; Metazoa; Arthropoda; Insecta; Hemiptera; Miridae
Description: tRNA-Glu
Source: RNAcentral